RNAcentral lists this transfer RNA (73 nucleotides) under Cnuella takakiae. It matches the Rfam family "tRNA". Rfam says of the family: Transfer RNA (tRNA) molecules are approximately 80 nucleotides in length. Their secondary structure includes four short double-helical elements and three loops (D, anti-codon, and T loops). Lineage: Bacteria; Pseudomonadati; Bacteroidota; Chitinophagia; Chitinophagales; Chitinophagaceae. The record is from Rfam by way of RNAcentral.
GCCAACUUAGCUCAGCUGGCAGCGCAUUUCACGCGUAAUGAAAGGGCCCUCGGUUCGAUUCCGGUAGUUGGCU